GUGACUAUAGCUCAGUUGGUUAGAGCGCCGGAUUGUGGUUCCGGAGGUCGUGGGUUCGAACCCCAUUAGUCACCCUA
RNAcentral lists this transfer RNA (77 nucleotides) under Myroides profundi. Its description in RNAcentral is "tRNA_His_GTG". It matches the Rfam family "tRNA". Rfam says of the family: Transfer RNA (tRNA) molecules are approximately 80 nucleotides in length. Their secondary structure includes four short double-helical elements and three loops (D, anti-codon, and T loops). Further hydrogen bonds mediate the characteristic L-shaped molecular structure. tRNAs have two regions of fundamental functional importance: the anti-codon, which is responsible for specific mRNA codon recognition, and the 3' end, to which the tRNAs corresponding amino acid is attached (by aminoacyl-tRNA synthetases). tRNAs cope with the degeneracy of the genetic code in two manners: having more than one tRNA (with a specific anti-codon) for a particular amino acid; and 'wobble' base-pairing, i.e. permitting non-standard base-pairing at the 3rd anti-codon position. The record is from RNAcentral. Lineage: Bacteria; Pseudomonadati; Bacteroidota; Flavobacteriia; Flavobacteriales; Flavobacteriaceae.